CACGUAGGGUGCGAGCGUUGUCCGGAAUUAUUGGGCGGAAAGAGCUCGUAGGCGGUGUGUCGCGUCGGCCGUGAAAACCUGCAGCUUAACUGUGGGCGUGCGGUCGAUACGGGCAUCACUGGAGUUCGGCAGGGGAGACUGGAAUUCCUGGUGUAGCGGUGAAAUGCGCAGAUAUCAGGAGGAACACCGGUGGCGAAGGCGGGUCUCUGGGCCGAUACUGACGCUGAGGAGCGAAAGCGUGGGGAGCGAACAGG
RNAcentral lists this ribosomal RNA (254 nucleotides) under uncultured bacterium. RNAcentral describes it as "partial 16S ribosomal RNA". It matches the Rfam family "Bacterial small subunit ribosomal RNA", at positions 524 to 776 of the family's 1533-position model. The record is from RNAcentral.